Molecule: ribosomal RNA, 462 nt
Filed under: uncultured bacterium
Lineage: Bacteria
Description: partial 16S ribosomal RNA
Rfam family: Bacterial small subunit ribosomal RNA
Source: RNAcentral
GAUGAACGCUGACAGAAUGCUUAACACAUGCAAGUCUUUGGCGAAGCUGUGCUUGCACCGCCUAGCCAAGGCGGACGGGUGAGUAACGCGUAAGGAACUUGCCCUGCAGUCAGGGAUAACAGACGGAAACGACUGAUAAGACCUGGUAAAGUCAGGCGGACUCAUGUCCAGCCUGAUGAAAAGAGAUGCUGCAGGAGAGCCUUGCGUCCUAUUAGCUUGUUGGUGGGGUAACGGCCCACCAAGGCGAUGAUAGGUAGCCGGCCUGAGAGGGCGGACGGCCACAAGGGGACUGAGAUACGGCCCUUACUCCUACGGGAGGCAGCAGUGGGGAAUAUUGGACAAUGGGGGCAACCCUGAUCCAGCAAUUCUGUGUGCACGAUGAAGGUUUUCGGAUUGUAAAGUGCUUUCAGCAGGGAAGAAAAAAUGACGGUACCUGCAGAAGAAGCGACGGCUAAAUACGUG